This 301-nucleotide ribosomal RNA is filed under the name uncultured bacterium. RNAcentral's name for it is "partial 16S ribosomal RNA". It matches the Rfam family "Bacterial small subunit ribosomal RNA", at positions 509 to 807 of the family's 1533-position model. The record is from RNAcentral.
CAGUAGCCGCGGGAAUACGUAGGUGGCAAGCGUUGUCCGGAAUUAUUGGGCGUAAAGGGCUCGCAGGCGGUUUCUUAAGUCUGAUGUGAAAGCCCCCGGCUCAACCGGGGAGGGUCAUUGGAAACUGGGAAACUUGAGUGCAGAAGAGGAGAGUGGAAUUCCACGUGUGGCGGUGAAAUGCGUAGAGAUGUGGAGGAACACCAGUGGCGAAGGCGACUCUCUGGUCUGUAACUGACGCUGAGGAGCGAAAGCGUGGGGAGCGAACAGGAUUAGAUACCCCAGUAGUCCCUGUCUCUUAUAC